Molecule: long non-coding RNA, 688 nt
Organism: Mastomys coucha (southern multimammate mouse)
Lineage: Eukaryota; Metazoa; Chordata; Mammalia; Rodentia; Muridae
Exons: 2
Source: RefSeq, a predicted model, not a curated record
CAUAAGGAACUGCAUCUGGUCAUUAUCCACAGCAGUGAGCUUGGAGGUAGAUAUUUCUCCAGUCACGAGGUGGGAUGACCUCAGUCCUGGCUGGUAUUAUGUGGUAUUUGCAGCCCAUGACAGAUACUGAGCUAGGGGACCCAGCUCAGCCACUCUCAGAUUCUUCACCCAUGAAACAAUAACAUUUCUUACUGACUGAUAGGGUGCUUGGGACAAGCCUGUGGAAGUGACAACGCUGAAAACUGUGUAGCACCUGAGAGAGGAGCAGAAGGCACAUUACCACGGACUAUUCCCUUUGGUGUGAGCAUCUUGGCGCUCAUGGUGUCUGAGUGAAAUAUGCUAGCAGCUCAUCUUGGUAUUAACUCAAUGAAUCUACUCCUGACACGUCACAGUGUACCUGUAUGCUCUGACAUCACAAAAGUGCCCGGAAACAGAAGCCAACAUAGCUACCACAAGGGUCCACAGAAAUGCAGGCUUUGGACAAUGGAUUUAGGGAACAUGUCCUAGAAAUUCAGAGCAGCAGGCGGCCUUGUGAAUGUAUCUUGUGAAAUUCCGAGCACCUGGCAAGGGAGUCUGCACGCUUGUCACCUGAGCUUGAUCCUCUCCCCACUCUGGGGUGUAAUAAAGGCACACAGUAAAGUGCUGAGAUUAUUUGAAAUUCUCAGCUUUUUUUGCUGUGUAUUUCCAA